GGGAGGCAGCAGUGAGGAAUUUUGGACAAUGGGCGCAAGCCUGAUCCAGCCAUUCCGCGUGAGUGAAGAAGGCCUUCGGGUUGUAAAGCUCUUUCGGCAGGAACGAAACGGUGCGGGCUAAUACCCUGCAUCAAUGACGGUACCUGAAGAAGAAGCACCGGCUAACUACGUGCCAGCAGCCGCGGUAAUACGUAGGGUGCGAGCGUUAAUCGGAAUUACUGGGCGUAAAGCGUGCGCAGGCGGUUUUGUAAGACAGAUGUGAAAUCCCCGGGCUUAACCUGGGAACUGCGUCUGUGACUGCAAGACUUGAGUGCGGCAGAGGGGGGUGGAAUUCCACGUGUAGCAGUGAAAUGCGUAGAGAUGUGGAGGAACACCGAUGGCGAAGGCAGCCCCCUGGGUCGACACUGACGCUCAGGCACGAAAGCGUGGGGAGCAAACAGGAUUAGAUACCCGUGUAGUCCC
RNAcentral lists this ribosomal RNA (462 nucleotides) under uncultured bacterium. RNAcentral describes it as "bacterial SSU rRNA". It matches the Rfam family "Bacterial small subunit ribosomal RNA", at positions 343 to 797 of the family's 1533-position model. The record is from RNAcentral.